GUAGUCAUAUGCUUGUCUCAAAGAUUAAGCCAUGCAUGUCUAAGUAUAAGCAACUUGUACAGUGAAACUGCGAAUGGCUCAUUAAAUCAGUUAUCGUUUAUUUGAUAGUACCUUACUACUUGGAUAACCGUGGUAAUUCUAGAGCUAAUACAUGCUAAAAAUCCCGACCUCUGGAAGGGAUGUAUUUAUUAGAUAAAAAACCAAUGCCUUCGGGCUCCUUGGUGAUUCAUGAUAACUUUACGAAUCGCAUGGCCUUGUGCCGGCGAUGGUUCAUUCAAAUUUCUGCCCUAUCAACUUUCGAUGGUAGGAUAGUGGCCUACCAUGGUUUCAACGGGUAACGGGGAAU
This 346-nucleotide ribosomal RNA is filed under the name uncultured fungus. RNAcentral's name for it is "SSU rRNA". It matches the Rfam family "Eukaryotic small subunit ribosomal RNA", at positions 20 to 370 of the family's 1831-position model. The record is from RNAcentral. Lineage: Eukaryota; Fungi.